AGGCAGUAGAGAUGACCAGGGAUGUUCUCUGUUUAGUGAGUCCGCCAAAUCAGAGGCAGUAGAGAUGACCAGGGAUGUUCUCUGUUUAGUGAGUCUGCCAAAUCAGAGGCAGUAGAGAUGACCAGGGAUGUUCUCUGUUUAGUGAGUCUGCCAGGUCAGAGGCAGUAGGGAUGACCAGGGAUGUUCUCUUGAUAAGUUGUGAAUUAGACCAUUUUCCUGUCCUGCUGAGCAUUCAAAAUGUAACAAGUACUUUUGGGUGUCAGGAAAAAUGUAGUGAGGUAAAAGUAAAAGUUGGCAAAAAUAUUAAUAGAAAAGUAAAGUACAGAUACCCAAAAAACUACUUAAGAGGUACAUUAAAGCAUUUUUACUUAAGUACUUUACACCACUGUAGACAAGCUACUCUAACUUAAUUGAUAGCCUGAAAUGGCUUCUUGGUAGUUAGGUUCCCAAUCUCCCAACCUCAUAACUAUCUGGGCUAGUUAAAGCCAUCUUCAUAAAAUGUCUAGGUGGCUAGUAGUAUUGCAGAGAAACAACAAUAACAAAAAAUAUAUACACAGUACCAGUCAAAAGUUUCAAGAGCUUUAAUUAAGAGUUUCUUCAAAUGCAGUCGCAAAAACCAUCCAGCGCUAUUAUGGAACUGGCUCUCAUGAGGACCGCCACAGAAAAGGAAGACCCAGAGUUACCUCUGCUGCAGAAGGUAAGUUCAUUAGAGUUACCAGACUCAGAAAUUGCAGCCCAAAUAAAUGCUUGACAGAGUUCAAGUAACAGACAUCAACAUCAACUGUUCAGAGGAGACUGAGUGAAUCAGGCCUUAAUGGUUGAAUUGCUGCAAAGAAAACACUACUAAAGGACACCAAUAAGAAGAAGAGACUUGCUGGGCCAAGAAACAUGAGCAAUGGAAAUCUGUCAUUUGGUCUGUUGAGUACAAAUUGGAGAAUUUUGGUUCCAACUGCGUGUCUUUCUGAGACGCAGAGUAGGUGAACGGAUUAUCUCUGCAUGUGUGGUUCCCACCGUGAAGCAUGGAGGAGGAGGUGUGAUGGCAUGUGGGUGGUUUGCUGGUGACACUGUCUGUGAUUUAUUUAGAAUUCAAGGCACACUUAACCAGCAUUGCUACCCAGCAUUCUGCAGCGAUACGCCAUCCCAUCUGUUUUGCUCUUAGUGGGACUAUCAUUUGUUUUUCAACAGGACAAUGAUCCAACACACCUCUAGGCUGUGUAAGGGUUAUUUGACCAAGAAGGAGAGGGAUGGCGUGUUGCAGAUGACCUGGCCUCCACAAUCACCUGACCUCAACCCAAUUGACAUGGUUUGGGAUGAGUUGGACCACAGAGUGAAGGAAAAGUAAACGCAUUCCUGGUGAAGGUGGUUGAGAGAAUGCCAAGAGUGUGCAAAGCUGUCAUCAAGGCAAAGGGUGGCUACAUUGAAGAAUAUAAAAUAUAAAAUAUAUUUUGAUUUGUUUAACACUUUUUUUGGUUACCACAUGAUUCCAUAUGUAUUAUUUCAUAGUUAUGAUGUUUUCUAUUAUUAAACAGUUUUUUUUAAAUAAAGAAAAACCCUUGAAUGAGUAGGUGUGUCCAAACUAUUGACUGGUACUGUAUAUAUAUUUUUAAUAAAUAUAUUUUAAACAGGAUACAUCUGAGCGGGCAUGAUACCCCCUAUGGGCAUGACACCUCGGUGUGUGUGUGUGUGUGUGUGUGUGUGUGUGUGUGUGUGUGUGUGUGUGUGUGUGUGUGUGUGUGUGUGUGUGUGUGUGUGUGUGUACACUGUGUGUGUGUACACUGAGACAGAGAAAAUGGCUGUGUAAAUGGCAUCUCUUUCUGGCCAGGAGCAGCUGAGGCUCUGCAUUAUCAGUCUGAGUAACCUGUAGAGAGAUCGAAGCCUACAGAGCCAGAGAGCACCUAGCCUGCCUGCUAUGUGUACAGCUACUACCACUACCACUACCACUACCACUAUCACUACUACCACUACCACUAC
This is a long non-coding RNA of Oncorhynchus tshawytscha (Chinook salmon), 1971 nucleotides long. NCBI's taxonomy places the organism in Eukaryota, Metazoa, Chordata, Actinopteri, Salmoniformes, Salmonidae. The record is from Ensembl.